UUAGCUAUUUUAGAUAAGGUUGUAUUCAUGAAUUCAUGGAUGCAAACCUAAACGUUUGUAUCUAUGAUGGCUAGGGAAAUUUAAGAUGCGAAGUUGUCUUAUCCGCCACAUAGAUGAAAAUCUAUAGUGGCUUUUUAU
This 138-nucleotide non-coding RNA is filed under the name Enterococcus phoeniculicola ATCC BAA-412. RNAcentral's name for it is "Enterococcus sRNA 2410". It matches the Rfam family "Enterococcus sRNA 2410". From Rfam's summary of the family: Produced as 2 transcripts on Northern blot. Expressed in mid, late exponential and early stationary phases of growth. The record is from Rfam by way of RNAcentral. Lineage: Bacteria; Bacillati; Bacillota; Bacilli; Lactobacillales; Enterococcaceae.